CAGCCGCCGCGGGAAAACGAAGGGGGCUAGCGUUGUUCGGAAUUACUGGGCGUAAAGCGCACGUAGGCGGAUAUUUAAGUCAGGGGUGAAAUCCCGCAGCUCAACUGCGGAACUGCCUUUGAUACUGGGUAUCUUGAGUAUGGAAGAGGUUAGUGGAAUUGCGAGUGUAGAGGUGAAAUUCGUAGAUAUUCGCAGGAACACCAGUGGCGAAGGCGGCUAACUGGUCCAUAACUGACGCUGAGGUGCGAAAGCGUGGGGAGCAAACAGGAUUAGAUACCCCGGUAGUCCCUGUCUCUUAUAA
RNAcentral lists this ribosomal RNA (301 nucleotides) under uncultured bacterium. RNAcentral's name for it is "partial 16S ribosomal RNA". It matches the Rfam family "Bacterial small subunit ribosomal RNA", at positions 509 to 809 of the family's 1533-position model. The record is from RNAcentral.